Molecule: ribosomal RNA, 301 nt
Filed under: uncultured bacterium
Lineage: Bacteria
Description: partial 16S ribosomal RNA
Rfam family: Bacterial small subunit ribosomal RNA
Source: RNAcentral
CAGCCGCCGCGGGAAUACGAAGGGGGCUAGCGUUGUUCGGAUUUACUGGGCGUAAAGCGCACGUAGGCGGACUUUUAAGUCAGGGGUGAAAUCCCGGGGCUCAACCCCGGAACUGCCUUUGAUACUGGAAGUCUUGAGUAUGGUAGAGGUGAGUGGAAUUCCGAGUGUAGAGGUGAAAUUCGUAGAUAUUCGGAGGAACACCAGUGGCGAAGGCGGCUCACUGGACCAUUACUGACGCUGAGGUACGAAAGCAUGGGGAGCAAACAGGAUUAGAUACCCGCGUAGUCCCUGUCUCUUAUAC